RNAcentral lists this ribosomal RNA (253 nucleotides) under uncultured bacterium. RNAcentral describes it as "partial 16S ribosomal RNA". It matches the Rfam family "Bacterial small subunit ribosomal RNA", at positions 524 to 776 of the family's 1533-position model. The record is from RNAcentral.
UACGAAGGGGGCUAGCGUUGCUCGGAAUUACUGGGCGUAAAGCGCACGUAGGCGGAUCCUUAAGUCGGUGGUGAAAUCCUGAAGCUCAACUUCAGAACUGCCUUCGAUACUGGGGACCUUGAGUUCGGGAGAGGUGAGUGGAACUGCGAGUGUAGAGGUGAAAUUCGUAGAUAUUCGCAAGAACACCAGUGGCGAAGGCGGCUCACUGGCCCGAUACUGACGCUGAGGUGCGGAAGCGUGGGGAGCAAACAGG